UACGUAGGGGGCGAGCGUUGUCCGGAAUUAUUGGGCGUAAAGGGUGCGUAGGCGGUCUUCUAAGUCUGAUGUGAAAGCCCCCGGCUCAACCGGGGAGAGCCAUUGGAAACUGGGAGACUUGAGUGCAGAAGAGGAGAGCGGAAUUCCAUGUGUAGCGGUGAAAUGCGUAGAGAUAUGGAGGAACACCAGUGGCGAAGGCGGCUUCCUGGCCUGUAACUGACGCUGAGGCGCGAAAGCGUGGGGAGCAAACAGG
This 253-nucleotide ribosomal RNA is filed under the name uncultured bacterium. Its description in RNAcentral is "partial 16S ribosomal RNA". It matches the Rfam family "Bacterial small subunit ribosomal RNA", at positions 524 to 776 of the family's 1533-position model. The record is from RNAcentral.